This 465-nucleotide ribosomal RNA is filed under the name uncultured bacterium. Its description in RNAcentral is "partial 16S ribosomal RNA". It matches the Rfam family "Bacterial small subunit ribosomal RNA", at positions 28 to 507 of the family's 1533-position model. The record is from RNAcentral.
GACGAACGCUGGCGGCGUGCCUAACACAUGCAAGUCGAACGGAGUCGGCCCCGCAAGGGCCUGACUUAGUGGCGAACGGGUGAGUAACGCGUGAGCAACCUGCCUUUCAGUGGGGGACAACAGUUGGAAACGACUGCUAAUACCGCAUAAUGCAUUUUGACCGCAUGAUCGAGAUGCCAAAGAUUUAUUGCUGAAAGAUGGGCUCGCGUCUGAUUAGAUAGUUGGUGAGGUAACGGCCCACCAAGUCGACGAUCAGUAGCCGGACUGAGAGGUUGAACGGCCACAUUGGGACUGAGAUACGGCCCAGACUCCUACGGGAGGCAGCAGGGGGGAAUAGUGGGCAAUGGGGGAAACCCUGACCCAGCAACGCCGCGUGAAGGAAGAAGGCUUUCGGGUUGUAAACUUCUUUUACCAGGGACGAAGAAAGUGACGGUACCUGGAGAAAAAGCCACGGCUAACUACGUG